GAUGAACGCUGGCGGCGUGCCUAAUACAUGCAAGUCGAGCGAACAGACGAGGAGCUUGCUCCUCUGACGUUAGCGGCGGAUGGGUGAGUAACACGUGGAUAACCUACCUAUAAGACUGGGAGAACUUCGGGAAACCGGAGCUAAUACCGGAUAAUAUAUUGAACCGCAUGGUUCAAUAGUGAAAGACGGUUUUGCUGGCAUUUAUAGAUGGGGCCGCGCCGCAUUAGGUAGUUGGGAAAGUAACAGCUUACCAAGGCAACGAUGCGUAGCCGACCUGAGAGGGUGAUCGGCGACACUGGAACGUGGACACGGUCCAUGCUCCUACGGGAGGCAGCAGUAGGGAAUCUUCCGCAAUGGGCGAAAGCCUGACGGAGCAACGCCGCGUGAGUGAUGAAGGUCUUCGGAUCGUAAAACUCUGUUAUUAGGGAAGAACAAAUGUGUAAGUAACUAUGCACGUCUUGACGGUACCUAAUCAGAAAGCCACGGCUAACUACGUG
RNAcentral lists this ribosomal RNA (497 nucleotides) under uncultured bacterium. RNAcentral's name for it is "partial 16S ribosomal RNA". It matches the Rfam family "Bacterial small subunit ribosomal RNA", at positions 28 to 507 of the family's 1533-position model. The record is from RNAcentral.